ACCUUGGAGAACUGAUGCCCUCUUUCAUUGAUGAUCUAUGGAGGACCAUGCAUCAAGCCGUAUCAGAUUAAUUGUUACAAACCAUCUGGAGCAGAAUCAGAAGAAGUCCUGGAAAUGAAGAACAGGAAAAGUUGGCUGCCGUGAAGUGAAGAACUAUGAAGUCUUAUUGAUAGCAAUUUUUUCUUAUGAUCUCCUGUAAUUAGGAUUUGAGUAACAAGAGUCAUCUUGUGAGAGUUUUAAGAAGUAGGAUUUGUAAGCAUAAAUAACUGCAAUUCCACUGCUAUUGCAAUUUAUUUGCUCAUCUUCGACAAACUUGUUCAUCAGUCUUU
Molecule: long non-coding RNA, 329 nt
Organism: Corylus avellana
Lineage: Eukaryota; Viridiplantae; Streptophyta; Magnoliopsida; Fagales; Betulaceae
Source: RefSeq, a predicted model, not a curated record